UCCGUCCGCAUAACUUCGACCGAACUGCUAACCCUAAAGCCAAUCUUUCCCCCAUCCUCCUCCCUUCGUGCGCCGCCACCCAUCUCUCUGCAUACCGACGCCCCUCCCCUCCCUGCUUCAGACAAUCCACCACGGAUCCUCACCAAAUACCGUCGAUCUCCCAAGCCGCAGACGCAACCCGCCAUGGCCUCCGCGUUUGAUCUGGAGAGCAAGACGUCGAUUUUGAGCUAGCUGUCGAGCGCUGCACCAACGCUAGCGUUGUCGGGCCAGCCACCGUGGAGUUCUUCUCCUACCUCGCCGCAGACGCAACCCGCGGCGUCUCCGAUCUCGGCUAGAUCGGAUCCGCCAGCAAGUUCUCUUCUCACCAGCGGCAAGUCUUCCGCGUCAGCGACCACGCGGGGCUCACCGUAGAUGGCCGCGUCCUCUCCGGAUUCCUCUGCAACGAGUACAUCAACCACUCCUUCAUCUACUACGCCCCCUCCUCAUCUCCAGGCUCGCACCCCACCUCGCAGAAAAGGUGCAGUCACCGGAAACAGCUCGUGCAUCUCUAUCGUAUGUUAGCUACUUUAAAUAGCCAACAGUCGGUUGAGUGCACUUGUUUCUUGGCGUCAGUGCUGUUCGUUUUAUCCAAGAAGUACGAAACACAGAGGGGACUUUUUCUGUAUGAGCCGGAAUCUACAGCCAAGAGAAAUGGACAACUUCAGAAAGCUUAUGUCGAGUUGUUAGCAAUAUGUGCGUUCUUCUUCUGUUUGAAAGUAAUUUAUGGUGCACUUGAGAACACAGAUUAUGACACAUCGUAACAUUUUUAUACUUGGGCAUUGUUGCUACUGAAGCUUUUCUCCCGCAGGCGGUACAUAAAUGAGAACUGUAAAUUACAGAUAGCUGUUAUGUAGGUAAAGCAUAUAUAAGUAUAUGUUUUCUUUACUUAACAUAUGGCGUGACUCGGGCAUGUUUUGUUGCUGCAUCUGGUGGUCUUUUUCACCAUGAAAUUGUACAUCGAGCAUGUGUAGAUGUGGCUCCUGCUGUAGGCAGAAAACCUUCAUCUUUUCCUUGCUACAAAUUAGCUAGUGAUGUCAUGUCAUGAAUGUACAUGUACAUUUGAAGUGCGUAGGUGUAUUUGUGUUUAA
Molecule: long non-coding RNA, 1127 nt
Organism: Lolium perenne
Lineage: Eukaryota; Viridiplantae; Streptophyta; Magnoliopsida; Poales; Poaceae
Source: RefSeq, a predicted model, not a curated record